GGGUCAUUAGAGGCUGCUGGUGUGAAAGGUGGCUGGGUAGAAACCCUUCCUAGAGAGACCUAGGCCAAUUGUCUUUUAACCAAUUGGUCGUAGGUUCGAAUCCUACACGACCCACCA
Molecule: transfer RNA, 117 nt
Filed under: Pseudomonas aeruginosa
Lineage: Bacteria; Pseudomonadati; Pseudomonadota; Gammaproteobacteria; Pseudomonadales; Pseudomonadaceae
Description: tRNA-Lys
Source: RNAcentral